RNAcentral lists this small RNA (104 nucleotides) under Marmota monax (woodchuck). Lineage: Eukaryota; Metazoa; Chordata; Mammalia; Rodentia; Sciuridae. The record is from RNAcentral.
GCCUGGUGCGCACCCGUAGUCCAGCUUGGGAGGCUGAGGCAGGAGGACCGCUUGAGCCCAGGGGUUCAAGACAAGCCUGGGCAACAAAGGGAGACCUAUUUCAG